UUUUUACUAUUGGAUCCGGGAAGAUCAUGGCCUUGAGGACUCUAGAUAGUCUUGGGAUGCUAGAUUUUAGAGGACCCUUUAGAGGAUUAAACAGGGGUCCUAGAUCAUCUUAUAUCUUUGACAAAUUUUAAUAAUGACUUGGUUCUGUAGGGGAACAAUCUAUUGGACGAGAGGACGCUGAGCAGAGUCCUGAGCAUUCCGGUUCAUAGAUCACCGUGAGGGCGGGUGAUUACUUGUCGGAGUUUUCAAUAAAGGAGAUGCAGGAUGCAUACAUGGAUGGGUUGGGCGCAGAGUGCAAGUACCAGAGUCAUUAGUUAGUUAGUUGUUUAUUCUUCUUGAUGUCGAUGAAUAUUUGAAGAGCUCGUAAUUGAACUAAUUUGUCUAUUUGGACAUGUCGGAUUUGUCUAUUUGAAUUAUCAAUUUCUUGUGGA
Phoenix dactylifera (date palm) is the source of this 431-nucleotide non-coding RNA. Lineage: Eukaryota; Viridiplantae; Streptophyta; Magnoliopsida; Arecales; Arecaceae. The record is from RefSeq and is a predicted model, not a curated record.